Molecule: long non-coding RNA, 297 nt
Organism: Oncorhynchus tshawytscha (Chinook salmon)
Lineage: Eukaryota; Metazoa; Chordata; Actinopteri; Salmoniformes; Salmonidae
Source: Ensembl
ACGGUAGUAGGUGCCUUUGAACAGGGGUAUGGUAGUAGGUGCCUUUGAACAGGGUACGGUAGUAGGUGCCUUUGAACAGGGUACGGUAGUAGGUGCCUUUGAACAGGGUACGGUAGUAGGUGCCUUUGAACAGGGUACGGUAGUAGGUGCCUUUGAACAGGGUAUGGUAGUAGGUACCUUUGAACGGGGUACGGUAGUAGGUACCUUUGAGCGGGGUACGGUAGUAGGUACCUUUGAACGGGGUACGGUAGUAGGUACCUUUGAACGGGGUACGGUAGUAGGUACCUUUGAACGGGG